RNAcentral lists this small nuclear RNA (107 nucleotides) under Dasypus novemcinctus (nine-banded armadillo). The record is from RNAcentral. Lineage: Eukaryota; Metazoa; Chordata; Mammalia; Cingulata; Dasypodidae.
AUGCUCACUUUGACAGCACUUACAGUAAAACUGGAAUGAUACAGAGAAGAUUAUCACCGUCCCUGCACAAGGAGGACACACAAAUUCAUGAAGCGUUCCAUAUUCCU